This 484-nucleotide ribosomal RNA is filed under the name uncultured bacterium. Its description in RNAcentral is "partial 16S ribosomal RNA". It matches the Rfam family "Bacterial small subunit ribosomal RNA", at positions 30 to 507 of the family's 1533-position model. The record is from RNAcentral.
AUUGAACGCUGGCGGCAGGCCUAACACAUGCAAGUCGAGCGGCUGAAGAGUGCUUGCUCCUGGUUUCAGCGGCGGACUGGUGGGUAAUUCCUGGGAAUCUGCCUGUUAGUUUGGGCUAACGUCCGGACGCGGGCGCUCAUACCGCAUUCGUCCAGAGGGCGAACGGGUGGGAUCUUCGGACCUCCCGCUAUCAGAUGAGCCUAGGUCGGAUUAGCUAGUUGGUGGGGUAAAGGCCUACCAAGGCGACGAUCCGUAACUGGUCUGAGAGGAUGAUCAGUCACACUGGAACUGAGACACGGUCCAGACUCCUACGGGAGGCAGCAGUGGGGAAUAUUGGACAAUGGGCGAAAGCCUGAUCCAGCCAUGCCGCGUGUGUGAAGAAGGUCUUCGGAUUGUAAAGCACUUUAGUUGGGGAGGAAGGGCAGUAAGUUAAUACCUUGCUGUUUUGACGUUACCAACAGAAUAAGCACCGGCUAACUUCGUG